GAAAAAUUCAGUCAGCAGUUUCUUUCCAUGAAGGGCAGAGCCAACCACAAUUGCCCCAGAAGCAAAGCCGGAGUUGGCAGACGCCAGGGUGAAAGGACAAUCUUCCCGGGAAUCUAAGGAGAAGGUGUGCCUUCAAAAGAUGAGAAAACUGACAUUCAGAGAAGUCAAGUAACCUACGUAAAGAGCCACUCAGCUAGGGGAAAAAAAUGGUUUCUGAUCGCUUUUUAAAAGCUUCUCCACCCCCUCAUUCCUUAAAAAAGGGAUGUGGACAAAAAAAUGCUGCCUGCCAUUUCAGUAAACAAGGGAUGCAAUGGCCAUACAGCCACCAGCCCUUGUAGCCAAGCCUGACGGUGCACCCUGAGGGGAAUUCAGGAUGGAGAAAAACAGGAUAACGGCCCUCGAUAGUUAAGAUGCAUAUCAACAGAAUGAUUUCACAAAAACACCUAUAUAUCCUGGCUCCUCCCUUACCUCUUUGGAACAGACUGUCAGAGCUGAGAAGCUGAUUCUCCAGGCUACAGUCCUUGUAAGGUUCCCGAAUAAAACAUAAUUCUCA
Lagenorhynchus albirostris (white-beaked dolphin) is the source of this 553-nucleotide long non-coding RNA. RefSeq lists it as uncharacterized. The record is from RefSeq and is a predicted model, not a curated record. Lineage: Eukaryota; Metazoa; Chordata; Mammalia; Artiodactyla; Delphinidae. The transcript has 5 exons.